AGAGAGUGGCAGAGACAGUAGAGGAUGAGGACCUUAUUGGGAGAAAUCCUCCUCAUUACAACAGCCAAGAUCAGAUUUUGACCAAGGCUACAAAAGAUCCCCUUCCUCACCCAGAACACCCAGACCAGUUGGAAUCAUCGACUGAGAAAGACAGGAACUCACCUGAAAAUACCAGCUCUUCCAUCUGCAAAGAGGAUGACAUUGAUGGGAGCCCUACUCUUGAUACAGAAAUGGCACAGGCCAACACAUCCCUGGGGCUCUAUGAAAUGAACUCUACUGCAGGUCCAUCUGGCCACAAAAAAGAAGACGCUGCCUUAGAGAGUUGUGUGUCUGCUACUGAUACACCAGAGGAGCCAAAGACGGAGCCAAAGCCAACCACUCCACACUCAAGGGCUUCUUCGUCAUCUACAUCCUCCGCAUCUCAAAGUUCUCCGACAAGCGGGGGUAUCCAGGGAAACCGUUCAAGUAUUUGAUCAGGCUCGAUUGAAUAGGUGAAUUUAAAACAGGGGCGCAAGUUUGGUUUUAGAAGUGGGGGAGGGGACAAAUUAUUAUUAUUUCCUUUAUCCAGUCUGAUAAACACUCCAAACAGCCGACCCGACCGCUCGGAGGCAUCCGCAUGGUCCUAAAGCACACCGCUGCCAGUGAAAAUUGCGCCCCUGGAUUUAAAUGAUCAUCCUAGAGUGGUUUAAAGACAUGCUCUGGUACUUUGACCCCAAAUAAGCAUUUUUUUAAACCUCCAACUUUGGUCUGGAUGUGUCAAUUUUAGUUCAUACAUGAAUAAUCUAUGAGCAGAAUUACUCUCAAUGUGCCACAAAAUCCCUAGUUUGAAAGCGACAGUUUUCUGGAAGCUGUGCAGCACCGUUUUACCUACAUUUACCCCCGUGUGGGCCAGCACCCUAGCAAUUAGAGUUUCAACCAAUGAGCUUCAGCCCAAAACCAUUUGAGUGACAGCUAGCACGACGCAUACACACACAGCGUGCACAUAUCUUCAGGUGACGUAGUACGACAUUUUCGGGGACCACUUUUUGGCUCGUGGGCGCAACUUUCAGAACUACUGGCUAAAAAGUAUACAAAAGCACCAGAGAAUCUCCUUAAAAGAAAAUAUAUUUUGGCCCGGUCUGAUUGUUUUUCUCUUUUAAGGGAAUCCUCAUACCCUCCACCAGACACCGUAAUGGAGCAGUCCUCAUACCCUCCACCAGACACAGUAAUGAAGCAGUCCUCAUACCCUCCACCAGACACCGUAAUGAAGCAGUCCUCAUAACCUCCACCAGACACCGUAAUGAAGCAGUCCUCAUACCCUCCACCAGACACCGUAAUGAAGCAGUCCCUCCACCAGACACCGUAAUGAAGCAGUCCCUCCACCAGACACCGUAAUGAAGCAGUCCCUCCACCAGACACUGUAAUGAAGCAGUCCUCAUACCCUCCACCAGACACCGUAAUGAAGCAGUCCUCAUACCCUCCACCAGACACCGUAAUGAAGCAGUCCAGUCCCUCCACCAGACACCGUAAUGAAGCAGUCCUCAUACCUUCCACCAGACACCGUAAUGAAGCAGUCCAGUCCCUCCACCAGACACCGUAAUGAAGCAGUCCCAGUCCUUCCACCAGACACCGUAAUGAAGCAGUCCAGUCCCUCCACCAGACACCGUAAUGAAGCAGUCCAGUCCCUCCACCAGACACCGUAAUGAAGCAGUCCGGUCCCUCCACCAGACACCGUAAUGAAGCAGUCCGGUCCCU
Oncorhynchus gorbuscha (pink salmon) is the source of this 1734-nucleotide long non-coding RNA. RefSeq lists it as uncharacterized. Lineage: Eukaryota; Metazoa; Chordata; Actinopteri; Salmoniformes; Salmonidae. The transcript has 5 exons. The record is from RefSeq and is a predicted model, not a curated record.